AGAGUUUGAUCAUGGCUCAGAACGAACGCUGGCGGCGUGGAUAAGACAUGCAAGUCGAACGCCAGCCAGGGGGUAGCAAUACUCAAUGGCUGGAGUGGCGCAAGGGUGCGUAACACGUGGGCAAUUUGCCGUGAAGCCCGGGAUAACUCGCUGAAAGGCGAGCUAAUACCGGAUGUGACGGACGGGGGGCAUCCCCCGUCCUUGGAAGCUGGGGACCGCAAGGCCUGGCGCUUCACGAUGAGCCCGCGGCCUAUCAGCUAGUUGGCGGGGUGACGGCCCACCAAGGCUAAGACGGGUAGCUGGUCUGAGAGGACGACCAGCCACACUGGAACUGAGACACGGUCCAGACACCUACGGGUGGCAGCAGUCGAGAAUUUUUCUCAAUGGGCGAAAGCCUGAAGGAGCGACGCCGCGUGGGGGAUGAAGGGCUUCGGCUCGUAAACCCCUGUCAUUUGCGAACAAACCCCCCCGUUGAACAGGCGGGGGGCUGAUUGUAGCGAAAGAGGAAGGGACGGCUAACUCUGUGCCAGCAGCCGCGGUAAUACAGAGGUCCCAAGCGUUGUUCGGAUUCACUGGGCGUAAAGGGUGCGUAGGUGGCGGGGUAAGUUUGGCGUGAAAUCUCCGGGCUCAACCCGGGAACUGCGUCGAAUACUAUCUCGCUCGAGGGUUGGAGGGGGGACUGGAAUUCUCGGUGUAGCAGUGAAAUGCGUAGAUAUCGAGAGGAACACCAGCGGCGAAGCGGGUCCCUGGACAACUCCUGACACUGAUGCACGAAAGCUAGGGGAGCAAACAGGAUUAGAUACCCUGGUAGUCCUAGCCGUAAACGGUGCAUAUUUGCUGUAAAAGGAAUCGACCCCUUUUGUGGCGAAGCCAACGCGAUAAAUAUGCCGCCUGGGAAGUACGGUCGCAAGAUUAAAACUCAAAGAAAUUGACGGGGGCCUGCACA
This 946-nucleotide ribosomal RNA is filed under the name uncultured bacterium. RNAcentral's name for it is "bacterial SSU rRNA". It matches the Rfam family "Bacterial small subunit ribosomal RNA", at positions 8 to 927 of the family's 1533-position model. The record is from RNAcentral.